RNAcentral lists this ribosomal RNA (253 nucleotides) under uncultured bacterium. RNAcentral's name for it is "partial 16S ribosomal RNA". It matches the Rfam family "Bacterial small subunit ribosomal RNA", at positions 524 to 776 of the family's 1533-position model. The record is from RNAcentral.
GACGUAGGGUGCAAGCGUUGUCCGGAUUUAUUGGGCGUAAAGGGCUCGUAGGCGGUUUGUCGCGUCGGGAGUGAAAACACCGGGCUUAACUCGGUGCUUGCUUCCGAUACGGGCAGACUAGAGGUAUGCAGGGGAGAACGGAAUUCCUGGUGUAGCGGUGAAAUGCGCAGAUAUCAGGAGGAACACCGGUGGCGAAGGCGGUUCUCUGGGCAUGUCCUGACGCUGAGGAGCGAAAGUGUGGGGAGCGAACAGG